RNAcentral lists this unclassified non-coding RNA (221 nucleotides) under uncultured Actinomycetes bacterium. RNAcentral describes it as "uncultured actinobacterium contains 16S-23S intergenic spacer region". The record is from RNAcentral. Lineage: Bacteria; Bacillati; Actinomycetota; Actinomycetes.
UCCGAGUUGUCCCCGGCAGUCCUUUUAGAGUCCCCGGCAUUACCCGCUGGCAACUAAAAGCAGGGGUUGCGCUCGUUGCGGCACUUAAGCCAACACCUCACGGCACGAGCUGACGACAGCCAUGCAGCACCUGUGCUAGCCCCUUACGGACACGGGCUUUCACCCGCUUUAACUAGCAUGUCAAGCCUAGGUAAGGUGGGGAUGACGUAGUACACCUGAAC